RNAcentral lists this ribosomal RNA (432 nucleotides) under uncultured bacterium. RNAcentral describes it as "bacterial SSU rRNA". It matches the Rfam family "Bacterial small subunit ribosomal RNA", at positions 57 to 494 of the family's 1533-position model. The record is from RNAcentral.
ACGAAGCUUGACGGAUGAUUUCUUCGGAAUGAAACCAGAUAUGACUUAGUGGCGGACGGGUGAGUAACACGUGAGCAACCUGCCUUUCAGAGGGGGAUAACGGCUGGAAACGGUCGCUAAUACCGCAUGACGUGUUCGGAUGGCAUCAUCUGAACAUCAAAGAUUUAUCGCUGAAAGAUGGGCUCGCGUCUGAUUAGAUAGUUGGUGGGGUAACGGCCUACCAAGUCGACGAUCAGUAGCCGGACUGAGAGGUUGAACGGCCACAUUGGGACUGAGAUACGGCCCAGACUCCUACGGGAGGCAGCAGUGGGGAAUAUUGCACAAUGGGGGAAACCCUGAUGCAGCAACGCCGCGUGAAGGAUGACGGUUUUCGGAUUGUAAACUUCUUUUCUUAGUGACGAAGACAGUGACGGUAGCUAAGGAAUAAGCAUC